GUAAACUCCCUUCAGCAGCACAUAUACUAAAAUUGGAAGGAUACAGAGAAGAUUAGCAUGGCCCCUGCGCAAGAAUCACAGGCAAAUUCAUGAAGCGUUCCAUAUUUUU
Small nuclear RNA from Callithrix jacchus (white-tufted-ear marmoset), 109 nucleotides. Lineage: Eukaryota; Metazoa; Chordata; Mammalia; Primates; Cebidae. The record is from Ensembl.